UACGUAGGGGGCAAGCGUUGUCCGGAAUCAUUGGGCGUAAAGCGCGUGUAGGCGGCCUAGUAAGUCCGUUCUGAAAGUCCGGGACUCAACCCCGGGAGGCGGAUGGAUACUGCUGGGCUCGAGUACGGAAGAGGCGAGUGGAAUUCCCGGUGUAGCGGUGAAAUGCGCAGAUAUCGGGAGGAACACCAAUGGCGAAGGCAGCUCGCUGGGACGUUACUGACGCUGAGACGCGAAAGCGUGGGGAGCAAACAGG
This 253-nucleotide ribosomal RNA is filed under the name uncultured bacterium. Its description in RNAcentral is "partial 16S ribosomal RNA". It matches the Rfam family "Bacterial small subunit ribosomal RNA", at positions 524 to 776 of the family's 1533-position model. The record is from RNAcentral.